This 172-nucleotide ribosomal RNA is filed under the name Heliobacterium mobile. RNAcentral's name for it is "Heliobacillus mobilis partial 16S ribosomal RNA". It matches the Rfam family "Bacterial small subunit ribosomal RNA", at positions 1 to 167 of the family's 1533-position model. The record is from RNAcentral. Lineage: Bacteria; Bacillati; Bacillota; Clostridia; Eubacteriales; Heliobacteriaceae.
UUUAUGUGGAGAGUUUGAUCCUGGCUCAGGACGAACGCUGGCGGCAUGCCUAACACAUGCAAGUCGAACGGAGAGCUAAAGUUUCGAUGGAGGCUCUUAGUGGCGGACGGGUGAGUAACGCGUGGAUAACCUGCCUGAGAGUGGGGGAUAACAGCCCGAAAGGGCUGCUAAU